GACGAUGUAGUUUAAAUUAAAAUAUGUGCUCUGCACGCACGGGAUGGUAUUUAUCCCAUUGUUG
RNAcentral lists this transfer RNA (64 nucleotides) under Tylodelphys immer. RNAcentral's name for it is "tRNA-Ala". The record is from RNAcentral. Lineage: Eukaryota; Metazoa; Platyhelminthes; Trematoda; Diplostomida; Diplostomidae.